AGCCGUCUGUAUCCGUGCUGACAUUUCUUCACACACCAGAGCACAAGGGCUAAUGAGACUCCUCAGAUAAUUGAAGUG
This 78-nucleotide microRNA precursor is filed under the name Schistosoma margrebowiei. Its description in RNAcentral is "mir-3492 microRNA precursor family". It matches the Rfam family "mir-3492 microRNA precursor family". The record is from Rfam by way of RNAcentral. Lineage: Eukaryota; Metazoa; Platyhelminthes; Trematoda; Strigeidida; Schistosomatidae.